GACGAACGCUGGCGGCGUGCUUAACACAUGCAAGUCGAACGGGAUUUAGUAGACAGAAGCCUCGGCUAAAGAUUACUAAUGAGAGUGGCGAACGGGUGAGUAACGCGUGAGCAACCUGCCUAUGACAGUGGGAUAGCCUCGGGAAACCGGGAUUAAUACCGCAUAAAAUCGUAGAAACACAUGUUUUAACGGUCAAAGAUUUAUCGGUCAUAGAUGGGCUCGCGUCUGAUUAGCUAGUUGGUAAGAUAACAGCCCACCAAGGCGACGAUCAGUAGCCGGUCUGAGAGGAUGAACGGCCACAUUGGAACUGAGACACGGUCCAAACUCCUACGGGAGGCAGCAGUGGGGAAUAUUGCACAAUGGGGGAAACCCUGAUGCAGCGACGCCGCGUGAACGAAGAAGGUAUUCGUAUCGUAAAGUUCUGUCCUAUGGGAAGAUAAUGACAGUACCAUAGAAGAAAGCUCCGGCUAAAUACGUG
RNAcentral lists this ribosomal RNA (478 nucleotides) under uncultured bacterium. RNAcentral's name for it is "partial 16S ribosomal RNA". It matches the Rfam family "Bacterial small subunit ribosomal RNA", at positions 28 to 507 of the family's 1533-position model. The record is from RNAcentral.